UUGCUUCUUUCUCUGUGUAUUUGCAGGGGUGAUAAAUAAAGUGUCUCUGCAGAACACAGUAGUGGGUUUCAUUGGCAGUUCUGUUGUCCUGCCGUGUUCAUCAGCUAAACAUGAUUUUAAGCUUGAAGACAUUAAUGUGCACUGGAGACAGAAUGGCAGAAUACAUGUUUAUGACAUUAUUAAAGGCAAAGAUUCAGUGGCAGACCAGGACCCACAAUACAAGAACAGAAUCAAAACUUUCCCUGAGGAGUAUGAGAGAAGAAACUUCUCCAUCAAACUCAAUAAUCUCACCCAUGCUGAUGCAGGAGAGUUCAGCUGCUUCAUCACACACUCAUCUCAUUUUAAACAGGAGACUGAGACUGUACGGCUGUUCAUUAAUGAAACUUGUUUUGGAAAGCAAUCCACUGAUGAAGAAAACAAAGUACCAGAAACACACUCAGAGUGGAAAAUAAUAUUAAUCUGUGUUUGCUUUUCUUUAAUUUUAAUUGCACGUCAUGCAUAAUUGCAUUUUUUAU
Molecule: long non-coding RNA, 515 nt
Organism: Labeo rohita (rohu)
Lineage: Eukaryota; Metazoa; Chordata; Actinopteri; Cypriniformes; Cyprinidae
Exons: 3
Source: RefSeq, a predicted model, not a curated record